RNAcentral lists this ribosomal RNA (2545 nucleotides) under Staphylococcus aureus M0703. Its description in RNAcentral is "bacterial LSU rRNA". It matches the Rfam family "Bacterial large subunit ribosomal RNA", at positions 3 to 2546 of the family's 2925-position model. Lineage: Bacteria; Bacillati; Bacillota; Bacilli; Caryophanales; Staphylococcaceae. The record is from RNAcentral.
UUAAGUUAUUAAGGGCGCACGGUGGAUGCCUUGGCACUAGAAGCCGAUGAAGGACGUUACUAACGACGAUAUGCUUUGGGGAGCUGUAAGUAAGCUUUGAUCCAGAGAUUUCCGAAUGGGGAAACCCAGCAUGAGUUAUGUCAUGUUAUCGAUAUGUGAAUACAUAGCAUAUCAGAAGGCACACCCGGAGAACUGAAACAUCUUAGUACCCGGAGGAAGAGAAAGAAAAUUCGAUUCCCUUAGUAGCGGCGAGCGAAACGGGAAGAGCCCAAACCAACAAGCUUGCUUGUUGGGGUUGUAGGACACUCUAUACGGAGUUACAAAGGACGACAUUAGACGAAUCAUCUGGAAAGAUGAAUCAAAGAAGGUAAUAAUCCUGUAGUCGAAAAUGUUGUCUCUCUUGAGUGGAUCCUGAGUACGACGGAGCACGUGAAAUUCCGUCGGAAUCUGGGAGGACCAUCUCCUAAGGCUAAAUACUCUCUAGUGACCGAUAGUGAACCAGUACCGUGAGGGAAAGGUGAAAAGCACCCCGGAAGGGGAGUGAAAUAGAACCUGAAACCGUGUGCUUACAAGUAGUCAGAGCCCGUUAAUGGGUGAUGGCGUGCCUUUUGUAGAAUGAACCGGCGAGUUACGAUUUGAUGCAAGGUUAAGCAGUAAAUGUGGAGCCGUAGCGAAAGCGAGUCUGAAUAGGGCGUUUAGUAUUUGGUCGUAGACCCGAAACCAGGUGAUCUACCCUUGGUCAGGUUGAAGUUCAGGUAACACUGAAUGGAGGACCGAACCGACUUACGUUGAAAAGUGAGCGGAUGAACUGAGGGUAGCGGAGAAAUUCCAAUCGAACCUGGAGAUAGCUGGUUCUCUCCGAAAUAGCUUUAGGGCUAGCCUCAAGUGAUGAUUAUUGGAGGUAGAGCACUGUUUGGACGAGGGGCCCCUCUCGGGUUACCGAAUUCAGACAAACUCCGAAUGCCAAUUAAUUUAACUUGGGAGUCAGAACAUGGGUGAUAAGGUCCGUGUUCGAAAGGGAAACAGCCCAGACCACCAGCUAAGGUCCCAAAAUAUAUGUUAAGUGGAAAAGGAUGUGGCGUUGCCCAGACAACUAGGAUGUUGGCUUAGAAGCAGCCAUCAUUUAAAGAGUGCGUAAUAGCUCACUAGUCGAGUGACACUGCGCCGAAAAUGUACCGGGGCUAAACAUAUUACCGAAGCUGUGGAUUGUCCUUUGGACAAUGGUAGGAGAGCGUUCUAAGGGCGUUGAAGCAUGAUCGUAAGGACAUGUGGAGCGCUUAGAAGUGAGAAUGCCGGUGUGAGUAGCGAAAGACGGGUGAGAAUCCCGUCCACCGAUUGACUAAGGUUUCCAGAGGAAGGCUCGUCCGCUCUGGGUUAGUCGGGUCCUAAGCUGAGGCCGACAGGCGUAGGCGAUGGAUAACAGGUUGAUAUUCCUGUACCACCUAUAAUCGUUUUAAUCGAUGGGGGGACGCAGUAGGAUAGGCGAAGCGUGCGAUUGGAUUGCACGUCUAAGCAGUAAGGCUGAGUAUUAGGCAAAUCCGGUACUCGUUAAGGCUGAGCUGUGAUGGGGAGAAGACAUUGAGUCUUCGAGUCGUUGAUUUCACACUGCCGAGAAAAGCCUCUAGAUAGAAAAUAGGUGCCCGUACCGCAAACCGACACAGGUAGUCAAGAUGAGAAUUCUAAGGUGAGCGAGCGAACUCUCGUUAAGGAACUCGGCAAAAUGACCCCGUAACUUCGGGAGAAGGGGUGCUCUUUAGGGUUAACGCCCAGAAGAGCCGCAGUGAAUAGGCCCAAGCGACUGUUUAUCAAAAACACAGGUCUCUGCUAAACCGUAAGGUGAUGUAUAGGGGCUGACGCCUGCCCGGUGCUGGAAGGUUAAGAGGAGUGGUUAGCUUCUGCGAAGCUACGAAUCGAAGCCCCAGUAAACGGCGGCCGUAACUAUAACGGUCCUAAGGUAGCGAAAUUCCUUGUCGGGUAAGUUCCGACCCGCACGAAAGGCGUAACGAUUUGGGCACUGUCUCAACGAGAGACUCGGUGAAAUCAUAGUACCUGUGAAGAUGCAGGUUACCCGCGACAGGACGGAAAGACCCCGUGGAGCUUUACUGUAGCCUGAUAUUGAAAUUCGGCACAGCUUGUACAGGAUAGGUAGGAGCCUUUGAAACGUGAGCGCUAGCUUACGUGGAGGCGCUGGUGGGAUACUACCCUAGCUGUGUUGGCUUUCUAACCCGCACCACUUAUCGUGGUGGGAGACAGUGUCAGGCGGGCAGUUUGACUGGGGCGGUCGCCUCCUAAAAGGUAACGGAGGCGCUCAAAGGUUCCCUCAGAAUGGUUGGAAAUCAUUCAUAGAGUGUAAAGGCAUAAGGGAGCUUGACUGCGAGACCUACAAGUCGAGCAGGGUCGAAAGACGGACUUAGUGAUCCGGUGGUUCCGCAUGGAAGGGCCAUCGCUCGACGGAUAAAAGCUACCCCGGGGAUAACAGGCUUAUCUCCCCCAAGAGUUCACAUCGACGGGGAGGUUUGGCACCUCGAUGUCGGCUCAUCGCAUC